RNAcentral lists this ribosomal RNA (117 nucleotides) under Desertihabitans brevis. The record is from RNAcentral. Lineage: Bacteria; Bacillati; Actinomycetota; Actinomycetes; Propionibacteriales; Propionibacteriaceae.
UUCGGUGGCCACAGCGGUGGGGAAACACCCGGUCCCAUUCCGAACCCGGAAGUUAAGCCCACCAGCGCCGAUGGUACUGCACCCGGGAGGGUGUGGGAGACUAGGACGCCGCCGGAC